Molecule: long non-coding RNA, 1292 nt
Organism: Vidua macroura (Pin-tailed whydah)
Lineage: Eukaryota; Metazoa; Chordata; Aves; Passeriformes; Viduidae
Exons: 2
Source: RefSeq, a predicted model, not a curated record
AAAGGGCCCCGGGGACCUGUGGCCAGCCAGGGACUGGCCACUCAGGACACAGCAGGAGCUGGUGACCCUGACUCUCCUGCACACAUGCUGAGCAAGAGGAACCCUUUGUCACCCGUCACCAGUGACACAGCUGUCCCCAGGUGCCCGUGGCAGGAUCUGUGCCCUGCUGAGGAGUCCCAGAGCUGCUUGGCUGGAGGAGAAGCCGCAGGGGAGCUGGGACAAGCAGGGGGUCACAGCCUGUGUUUGUUUAUACUUUUCAUUGUUGCUGCUGGUUUAGAUACUCUGCCAGUGCAUGAAUAUCAUUGUUCUCACUGAAAAUGACUGAGAAAAACCCACAAACUCUGAAGCCACACCCAACUUGUUUUCACUUCUAAAGAUACUUUGUUUUGCUACUCCUCAAGCUCUUUUAAGGCACGUGGAGACACCAUUUUUGCUGCUACCCCCAUCUGAGUCACUCAGGGCAGUAAGAACCCACAGAGGCAGACGUUAUUUUAUGAAUUGUGGUCUCUUGUGCUGCCACACACCUCUCACUUCCUCAGUGUGUGCUGCCAGCCUGCAGGAUCAUGGGGAGGGCAGCAGGGCGAGCCUGGGCAGCCAGGUCUGCCCAGCCCCUUCCUAAACCCGCCCAGGGACUGCAGACACAGAUGUUCUGUCUGCUGGAAGCCAGAGGAUUCACUCCAGGAGAUGAGGGCGUUGUCAGCGAAGGUCUUGGCUCCAGAGUGUGUCCCAGACCCCAGGUCUAUCUGCUGCUCCCUGCCCCACGGAAGGGCUGUGGGUCAGAGCUGUGGGGCAGGGAUUUGGAGCUGGCUCUGGAGCAGCCGGGUGUGGGCUGCCUUCCCCCUUAGUCUCAGAUCUGCACAGGAGUCGGUGUGAUCUUUGUGCUUGGUUUGGGGGAGCUUUGCUUUAUUUUUUUCCCCCUUUUAAAAUGGUGAAAGGUGGGGAAGCACAGCCACUGCCUCCCUGUCCCCCUCAGCUAUUCCCUACAAAUUCGUACAUUGCUUUUCCUGCAUUUCUUGCUGCAAGAGACUCUCUUAAGGCCACAGAGCAGAGAUCUCGGAAGCUGAGAGCAGCCAGAAUCCCCCCCAAAACUCAUCACUGAGCCAGAGCUCACUGCUGGGCUGAGCCUCCUGGCUGGCCACCUUUCCAGCUGUGCAGGACAACGGUGUCAGCACUGUCACCUGUCGGGGUCUGGCCGCUGCCACCCCGAAGCACAGGGCUUGUCUGCAGUAUUUAACAACCACCUCCCAGUGCUGUGAUUUCUGUCGAGGGACAGUAAAAGUGCUCAGCUGCAG